CCUACGGGGGGCAGCAGUGGGGAAUAUUGGACAAUGGGGGGAACCCUGAUCCAGCCAUGCCGCGUGUGUGAAGAAGGCCCUCGGGUUGUAAAGCACUUUCAGUGAGGAAGAACGCCUGGUGGUUAAUACCCAUCAGGAAAGACAUCACUCACAGAAGAAGCACCGGCUAACUCCGUGCCCGCAGCCGCGGUAAUACGGAGGGUGCGAGCGUUAAUCGGAAUUACUGGGCGUAAAGCGCGCGUAGGUGGCUUGAUAAGCCGGUUGUGAAAGCCCCGGGCUCAACCUGGGAACGGCAUCCGGAACUGUCAAGCUAGAGUGCAGGAGAGGAAGGUAGAAUUCCCGGUGUAGCGGUGAAAUGCGUAGAGAUCGGGAGGAAUACCAGUGGCGAAGGCGGCCUUCUGGACUGACACUGACACUGAGGUGCGAAAGCGUGGGUAGCAAACAGGAUUAGAUACCCUGGUAGUC
Molecule: ribosomal RNA, 465 nt
Filed under: Vreelandella stevensii
Lineage: Bacteria; Pseudomonadati; Pseudomonadota; Gammaproteobacteria; Oceanospirillales; Halomonadaceae
Description: partial 16S ribosomal RNA
Rfam family: Bacterial small subunit ribosomal RNA
Source: RNAcentral